Molecule: ribosomal RNA, 403 nt
Filed under: uncultured bacterium
Lineage: Bacteria
Description: partial 16S ribosomal RNA
Rfam family: Bacterial small subunit ribosomal RNA
Source: RNAcentral
GACGAACGCUGGCGGCGUGCCUAAUACAUGCAAGUCGAACGCAGUGGGGACGGGUGAGUAACACGUGGGUAACCUCCCAUCAGAGGGGAUAACACUUGGAAACAGCUGCUAAACCGAUACUGAUGGAUGGACCCGCGGUGGAUUAGCUAGUUGGUGAGGUAACGGCCCACCAAGGCGACGAUGCAUAGCCGACCUGAGAGGGUGAUCAGCCACACUGGGACUGAGACACGGCCCAGACUCCUACGGGAGGCAGCAGUAGGGAAUCUUCGGCAAUGGACGAAAGUCUGACCGAGCAAUGCCGCGUGAGUGAAGAAGGUUUUAGGAUCGUAAAACCCUGUUGGUAGAGAAGCGUUAUCUAACCAGAAAGCCACGGCUAACUACGUGCCAGCAGCCGCGGUAAUAC